RNA transcript from Gadus chalcogrammus (walleye pollock), 3267 nucleotides. It is a transcript of the gene named retinoic acid-induced protein 1-like, with no coding region annotated. The record is from RefSeq and is a predicted model, not a curated record. Lineage: Eukaryota; Metazoa; Chordata; Actinopteri; Gadiformes; Gadidae. The transcript is spliced from 7 exons.
UCGGUCUGUCUGCCAGCAGUUAUGGACUUUAAGGAAACAGUUAAUAUAAUAAACCUAGUAUACAUUUAUUUUAUUUCAGGAUUAGGCUCUGCAUCGCCCACUCCGGGGGUCCGGGGAGGCUCGGCAGUAAGCGUCUGGUCGCCCGUGUCCUCACAACAAGGUCCUAUGUUGUGUACCGUAAAGCUGCCGUCAGAGACCCCCGCUGUACGGUGCAUUAUGGCGCCGAGCCCCCCGAUCCUGGAUCUAUGGAUCCUCUGGUGACCCGCGGGUCCUCCGUCGGUCCGCGUCACACACGAACCGGUCUGCGGAGAUGAGGCGGAGCCGCGACGGUUCUGUUUUCAUCCCGUCCGUGUGGGCCGGAAGCUAGCCAGGCUAACGUGCUAGCUUUGGAGCGAAGCUAACCAGGCUAACCUGGGGCCAGCAGUUAGCCACGGAGCAAAGCUAACCGAGCUAACUUGGUGCUAGCUUUAGCCUCCGUGAUAGCUGUUAGCCUCCGCGAUAGCUGUUAGCCUUCGAGGCUAGCUGUUAGCCUCCGAGAGAAGCUAACCCAAGGCUAGCGCUCUGCCAGCUGUCAGAGGGGUCGUCAGCGCUGUUCUUUCAGCCGCAGAGCCGAAACAGCGCCGGAUGAGACCCGAGCUCCAUCUCAACCGUCUCGUACCCGCAGGGACCAGCUAGAGGGCGCCAGCCGCCAGAGGCAUGGAUCUGUCGACGGGCUUCAGCGUCAGCCCCCUGCCCCGCGGUCACACCGAGGCCAUGGCCCUGGUGAAGAGACCCGAGUGGUACCGCCGCCACGCCGUAACCCGCAGCGCCGACGGCAGCUCCCCACUCAGAGCCCGGCUCAGAGCGGACGGCAGCAGGCCCGACGGCGGCCUCGUCCUUCCACUGCGGCCCAAGAUGGAGGAGGCGGGCCUCCAGGACGCCGCAAUGGAUUGUAGGACUGCGGCGCCGCAGGGCCGGGGCCUCUUCCACGAGAGCGUCCACGGGCGGCUGUGGCAGGCGGGCUUCUACCCCACGGAGACCGCCGCCGCCGUGGACAGCAGCUCGGGGACGGACAGCGACAGCGGCUCUGAUGUCAUCUUCCUGCUGUCAGCGUCCAAGGACUCGGCGGCGUGCAGCUCCGUCAGCGGGGGGAGCGUCAGCCUGGCGGAGGGGGCGGAGCUCGCGCUGGACGGCGAGGGGCGGGGCUGCUUCCUGCUCCCCUCAGCGCUGAGUUCGGCCAGCGGCGAGAGUUCGUGCUCGUCGGACUCGUCGGACAGCGUGAUCCCGGAGCGCCACGCCCGGCCGGUGGUGCUGCUCUCCGACGUCACCGUCCGCUACGGCCACUACUCGGAGUCGCCCAUCAACAUCUCUAGCGACGAGGACAGCGUCGCCCUGGAGGAGGCGGCCGGCGGCGGUGAACCGAUGCUCCGCGACUCUGAGGACAGCGGGUCCGAUAAGGGGAGCGUGUCAGGCGAAGCGACGGUCGGGAGUGAGCGCGGCGACCUGCGGCGCAGCCCCAGGAUCAGGAUGGCGGCGAUCCCCAUGGCGACGGCGGCGGAGUUCACCUGCAGAGUGUCGCAGCACAACCUGAGGAGCCAGGUGAAGUGUGGGUACGAGGAGGUGGAGGACACGGAGGAGGUGAUGGACUACAUCAACGGGGUCGCCUCUUCCUCCUCCUCGUCAUCGGAGGAGGAGCAGGAGGACCAGACGGAGGCCCCCCCGCGGCCGAAGCUCCAGCGCAAAACACGGACUCCAAGGUGUUCUUCGGAAGACUCUUCCGACAACUCUUCCGAUAAGUCGUCCGAUAACUCGACGGAUUCAGACGAUUGUCGGUACGUUCGGCAGCUCUCUGAAUCGGCCCGCAGUAGAACGCGGCGUUCAGAACGAGCGUGCCUCAAAUCCCCGCCACAGACCCCCCAAGACGCCAAACAGGUUGUUAGGACCACGCGGUCCCGACCCUCCCCUCAGUCCGCGGCGCCGCGGCCAGAGCCUCGGCCCACGCCGCCCGCCGCCAGGAAGGCGGCGCCGAGGAAAACCGUGGCGGGGAAACGGCGGCGACCGCGGAAACGCCGUCGUCCCAGCAGCCCGCCCCCGCUGUUCGCCCCCGGGGAGCCGGACCUCCUGCUGAAGUACACCCAGCCCCGGGAGGGGAGGAGGAGGAGCCAGACCGACCACUACCAGCCCUUCAUCCACGUGGGGAAGAGGAGCUGCACGGUGGUGAACCAACAGGAGGAGGAGGGCGGCGGCCCCGGGGCCCCGCCCGGCCCUGUGCCCGGCACCUCCUGCUACCGGUUGGGCCGGCUGGGCCCCCGGAGCAGGGGCCGCCCCCCCGGGGCCUGCUGCCUCUGCGGCCGCUCGGCCAAUGCCCUGGGCCUGGGGGACCUCCACGGACCCUACUACCCCGUGGCCCCGCUCCCCCAGGGGGGGGGCCCACCGCGCCGCUCCUCCCCCCGGCUGGACACCGUGGGGCCGGAGAGGUCGACGCCCACAACGGACAACGCCGAACGCACGCCGAGAGUGAAGACAGAACGAAGCGAGAUCCACGUGUGUGGCGGUUUGUGUCCUGCCGCCGAGGGCGACCGUGUCCAUGGUGAGGAGGAGGAGGAGGGGGGAGGCGGUGGUGAUGAUGAGGACGACCGGUCCUCCGUCAUGGCAGCGGAAUCCCCUCGCGUUCCCAUGGAGGCGACGCGGUGGCCGGAGGAGUGGUGGGUCCACGAGGACUGUGGCGUCUGGGCCACGGGAGUGUUCCUGGUCCGGGGCCGGCUCUACGGCCUGAAGGAGGCGGCCAGGGGCACCAGGGACGUGGUGUGCUGUGAAUGCCAUGAGUCGGGGGCAAUUAUGGGCUGUUUCCAGAAGGGCUGCAGUCUGAACUACCACUACCGAUGUGCCAUCAGCUCAGGUUGUCUUCUAAAUGAGGAAAACUUCUCCAUGAAAUGUUCCCAACACAAGAACAAGGUGUUGACAAGGGCAGCUCAAUCCGGCCUCCGGAGAUGACCUCAGGGACCACCCACUCAUCAGUGGUAACACCGGCUAGCAUGUUGACCUGAGCGGGCUGCCCACUUCCUGAACACCUUCCGGGACUCUGCAGGGAACUGAGUGAGUUACGGGCGACGGACAACCUUGCUCUCUGAUCCACACUUCAGUUUGUUUCCUGCAAGUCACUUUGUACUAUUUAUUACACAUUAAUUUGUGGAACUUCCUUGUUUGGAUAAUUUGUGUCUGCACAAUGAACUGGAUUCUGUGUUAUUUAUGCAAUUUAUGUAAAUUAAAUUAAUAACUAUUCUUUAA